Long non-coding RNA from Oreochromis aureus, 262 nucleotides. RefSeq lists it as uncharacterized. NCBI's taxonomy places the organism in Eukaryota, Metazoa, Chordata, Actinopteri, Cichliformes, Cichlidae. The transcript has 3 exons. The record is from RefSeq and is a predicted model, not a curated record.
GGAGAAGCCAAACCCCAGGGUAAACCCCACUUCUCAAAGCUGGCUCCAGCUGCUCCCAAACCUGAGAUCCUGAAUUAGAUAAAAGGAAGAAGGCAGAUGGCUGGAUGGCCUUUUGUUAACUUCUGACUCUGUCCAAAUAAAAGUCUCAUCUUUUCCUACAAAAUCUGCCUGAAGUCUCCCACAUUUGGGUUGUCUGUACAUCAUCACUGUGCCUUCAAUGUAGAAGACAGAUGCAGAAUCUUUCUCCAACUAGAUACCCACC